Molecule: long non-coding RNA, 287 nt
Filed under: Homo sapiens (human)
Lineage: Eukaryota; Metazoa; Chordata; Mammalia; Primates; Hominidae
Description: non-protein coding lnc-MARCH10-1:2
Source: RNAcentral
UAGAAAGAAUGAAAAACUAUGCUGCUGAUGCUGUCAGCUUCCCAGAAUCCUCUCCCAAGUUAAUUCAAUUAGGCAUGCUCACUCUCUGUCACCCAGGCUGGAGUGCAGUGGUGCAAGAUCAUAACUCAUUGCAGCCUCGAACUCCUGGACUCAGGCAAUCCUCCUGCCUCAGCUUCCUGUGUGCAUGAGUCUUCAAUCACCUGCCCAGAAGAGACAUGUAUCACUUCCGCUCACAUUGCAUUGACUAAAGUAAGUCACAUGACCACACCUAAGUUCCAGGUGGUGAG